GAAAGCAGGCGAGGUGAUCGCGAUCGGGAGGCUGAUGGUCUUCGGAACGGAAGCCUGCCUGGUUGAGGAAAGUCCGGGCUCCCCAAUGGCCAGGCUUGCUGGGUAACGCCCAGUGCGGGUGACCGUGAGGAGAGUGCCACAGAAACACACCGCCGAUGGCCCCGGUUCCGCUUCGGUGGAGCAGAGCACAGGCAAGGGUGCAAAGGUGCGGUAAGAGCGCACCAGCAGCAUCGAGAGGUGCUGGCUCGGUAAACCCCGGCCGGGAGCAAGGCCCAGGGACAACGGUUGGCCAUGGCACCAGUCCCGCCCCAAGCGCGCCGCUCGAGGCCGCCGGCAACGGCGGUCCCAGACAGAUGAUCAUCCCCGCCGCAGCGUCUCCGGGCGCCGGCGGAGAACAGAACCCGGCUUACGUCCUGCUUUCACCC
RNAcentral lists this RNase P RNA (425 nucleotides) under Synechococcus sp. GFB01. RNAcentral describes it as "bacterial RNase P". It matches the Rfam family "Bacterial RNase P class A". Rfam says of the family: Ribonuclease P (RNase P) is a ubiquitous endoribonuclease, found in archaea, bacteria and eukarya as well as chloroplasts and mitochondria. Its best characterised activity is the generation of mature 5'-ends of tRNAs by cleaving the 5'-leader elements of precursor-tRNAs. Cellular RNase Ps are ribonucleoproteins. The record is from RNAcentral. Lineage: Bacteria; Bacillati; Cyanobacteriota; Cyanophyceae; Synechococcales; Synechococcaceae.